RNAcentral lists this ribosomal RNA (490 nucleotides) under uncultured bacterium. Its description in RNAcentral is "partial 16S ribosomal RNA". It matches the Rfam family "Bacterial small subunit ribosomal RNA", at positions 28 to 507 of the family's 1533-position model. The record is from RNAcentral.
GAUGAACGCUAGCUACAGGCUUAACACAUGCAAGUCGCGGGGCAGCAUGGGGGUUGCUUGCAAUCCCCGAUGGCGACCGGCGCACGGGUGAGUAACGCGUAUCCAACCUGCCCUUCACCACGGGAUAACCCGGCGAAAGUCGGACUAAUACCGUAUGUUGUCCAUUGACGGCAUCCGAUUUGGACGAAAGGCUUGGCGGUGAGGGAUGGGGAUGCGUCCGAUUAGCCAGACGGCGGGGUAACGGCCCACCGUGGCUACGAUCGGUAGGGGUUCUGAGAGGAAGGUCCCCCACACUGGAACUGAGACACGGUCCAGACUCCUACGGGAGGCAGCAGUGAGGAAUAUUGGUCAAUGGGCGUAAGUCUGAACCAGCCAAGUAGCGUGCAGGAUGACGGCCCUAUGGGUUGUAAACUGCUUUUAUGCGGGGAUAAAGUGGCCCACGUGUGGGCUUUUGCAGGUACCGCAUGAAUAAGGACCGGCUAAUUCCGUG